GAUGAACGCUGGCGGCGUGCCUAAUACAUGCAAGUCGAGCGAACGGACGAUACGCUUGCUUCUCUGAUGUUAGCGGCGGACGGGUGAGUAACACGUGGAUAACCUACCUAUAAGACUGGGAUAACUUCGGGAAACCGGAGCUAAUACCGGAUGAUAUUUUGAACCGCAUGGUUCAAAAGUGAAAGACGGUCUUGCUGUCACUUAUAGAUGGAUCCGCGCUGCAUUAGCUAGUUGGUAAGGUAACGGCUUACCAAGGCAACGAUGCAUAGCCGACCUGAGAGGGUGAUCGGCCACACUGGAGCUGAGACACGGUCCAGACUCCUACGGGAGGCAGCAGUAGGGAAUCGUCCGCAAUGGGCGAAAGCCUGACGGAGCAACGCCGAGUGAGUGAUGAAGGUCUUCGGAUCGUAAAACUCUGUUAUUAGGGAAGAACAUAUGUGUAAGUAACUGUGCACAUCUUGACGGUACCUAAUCAGAAAGCCACGGCUAACUACGUG
This 497-nucleotide ribosomal RNA is filed under the name uncultured bacterium. RNAcentral describes it as "partial 16S ribosomal RNA". It matches the Rfam family "Bacterial small subunit ribosomal RNA", at positions 28 to 507 of the family's 1533-position model. The record is from RNAcentral.